Molecule: non-coding RNA, 84 nt
Organism: Bombyx mori (domestic silkworm)
Lineage: Eukaryota; Metazoa; Arthropoda; Insecta; Lepidoptera; Bombycidae
Source: Rfam
UUAACUCAAAUUUGUAUGCAGUUGGAACGUUUGCCUACGUUUGCCGCUAGGGGUACUGUUCCGACUGCAUAUAAAUUUGAGUUA